RNAcentral lists this ribosomal RNA (745 nucleotides) under uncultured bacterium. RNAcentral's name for it is "bacterial SSU rRNA". It matches the Rfam family "Bacterial small subunit ribosomal RNA", at positions 33 to 773 of the family's 1533-position model. The record is from RNAcentral.
ACGCUGGCGGCAGGCCUAACACAUGCAAGUCGAGCGGUAGAGAGAAGCUUGCUUCUCUUGAGAGCGGCGGACGGGUGAGUAAUGCCUAGGAAUCUGCCUGGUAGUGGGGGAUAACGUUCGGAAACGGACGCUAAUACCGCAUACGUCCUACGGGAGAAAGCAGGGGACCUUCGGGCCUUGCGCUAUCAGAUGAGCCUAGGUCGGAUUAGCUAGUUGGUGAGGUAAUGGCUCACCAAGGCGACGAUCCGUAACUGAUCUGAGAGGAUGAUCAGUCACACUGGAACUGAGACACGGUCCAGACUCCUACGGGAGGCAGCAGUGGGGAAUAUUGGACAAUGGGCGAAAGCCUGAUCCAGCCAUGCCGCGUGUGUGAAGAAGGUCUUCGGAUUGUAAAGCACUUUAAGUUGGGAGGAAGGGUUGUAGAUUAAUACUCUGCAAUUUUGACGUUACCGACAGAAUAAGCACCGGCUAACUCUGUGCCAGCAGCCGCGGUAAUACAGAGGGUGCAAGCGUUAAUCGGAAUUACUGGGCGUAAAGCGCGCGUAGGUGGUUUGUUAAGUUGGAUGUGAAAUCCCCGGGCUCAACCUGGGAACUGCAUUCAAAACUGACUGACUAGAGUAUGGUAGAGGGUGGUGGAAUUUCCUGUGUAGCGGUGAAAUGCGUAGAUAUAGGAAGGAACACCAGUGGCGAAGGCGACCACCUGGACUAAUACUGACACUGAGGUGCGAAAGCGUGGGGAGCAAAC